CAUCACAGCCCAUCCACCUUCAGGGUUACCUAAGUACCUUAAGAAAAUUGUCAGAGCUGCUGAGUGGAACAGUGUGAAGGUGAAAAAAUUUGUGAUCACCAGUGGGUUUUCCUCAUCUUGCCAAAGUUGCUAUUUGAGAAGAUGGAAAUGUGAUUAAAGAUACCAACAAGCCUAAACUACAUUUCUUCAGAAGUGAUAGGUGCAUGGCUGCUGUAUAUAAUAGACUCCAUAAAAGCAUC
This is a long non-coding RNA of Passer domesticus (house sparrow), 239 nucleotides long. RefSeq lists it as uncharacterized. Lineage: Eukaryota; Metazoa; Chordata; Aves; Passeriformes; Passeridae. The transcript is spliced from 3 exons. The record is from RefSeq and is a predicted model, not a curated record.